RNAcentral lists this long non-coding RNA (17057 nucleotides) under Triticum aestivum (bread wheat). RNAcentral's name for it is "long non-coding RNA (TAES_LNC016573)". The record is from RNAcentral. Lineage: Eukaryota; Viridiplantae; Streptophyta; Magnoliopsida; Poales; Poaceae.
GAGCUUUUGCUUGCAAAAGGAUCUUAUGUUGACCCGGUAUCUGCUCGUGGAACACCACUUCAUGUUGCUGCUGGUGGAGGGCAUUAUGGUGCUAUGAAGAUUUUGUUGGACCACAAUGCAGAUGUAAGUUUAAGUACAUACCGUUUCUGCCUCAAGUUACCCUACAUGUUUUGAACUUUAAUUACUUGUGUUUUGCAAUUUUUUCCCUCGGCUAUCUUGUCAUGUUUUUUUUAAUUGAUUGUGUAUGGUUGCUUGAUGCUGCUAUGGUGCUUGUGCUGCAUAGUUAACUCUUGAAAUCCUCAGUACAUUUUUCUUCUAUUCUGCAUGCCCCUCGUUGUGUAGUAGUUGUAAUGCUACAUCUCAUCAUAGUGUCUUGGUAAUAAGUAUGCUUCAUCCACUUCCCUUUCAAUUCAUAGCACUAUACUAUCAAAUGUACAGUGCAUUUCGAAUAUAAUUCUAUUUUUGGAAAUUGAGCAGAGCACAUAAUACUGAACAUCUUCUCAUUUUUGGUCCCUUCAAUGCCAAUUUCCAUGCCUAAAACUACUUAAUAUGGUUACUUUCUUUUUACAUAUUGGCCAUAAUAGAUUAGUCUCUAACUCUCUAUCAUGUAUUGCCAUUUGUUUCUGAGUGCUACCUAGAAUUUUAUGAAGUUUACUUGACCAAUAUGAUAGUAAGCUACAAGGUUCCACAACAUAUUCACACCGUUGUUGACUUCUUGUGUGUUUUGUUAAUGCCAUGGGAGCUGUUUAAUUUUCACUGAAGAGGCUUGCUUCGGUACGCCCCCUCUGAAAAGAUCUUUUCACAAACCCAAUUCUACCUGCAUCUGCAAAUUCUACCCUCGCACAAUCUUUCCCUGUCGGCUCAUCCAUCUUCCCAUAUAAGCUGUGGGUGUGACCGUGUGAGGGCGCUGUUGCCUCCCAAAUCGUUCUCACUGAUGGCGUGAUGCAUCAUCUUCUUCGUUCUCUAGUUGUGGUUCCAUAUUCAGGUUUUAGUACCUUCUCUUAUUGAUGGCUGCAUUGCUUUGUUCUCAACAUAGGAGAAGAGUCGUUGCCGGCUUGUUCCUCAAUGAUUGCCACAUGAUGGGUGAUCGAUGGAGAUCUGAUUUCUCUCUGAUCGGGUUUAAGCCCAAUCCGAUCAUAGUCGGUUGUGACCCCCAGGGCGGUGAUGCGAUCUAGCAGUUCAUUUAAGGCUGAUACAUCUGCCGAAUUCAUCUUGUCAGAGUAUUCAGGGCCGAUGCAGAGAUGAUUUUUGGUGAUGAGUUGGGCCGCUUCUAGCUUAAAGGCCGGGUGAGCACCCAUGAUGAAGCUGCCGAGUCGGAGAGUUUGCCCUAAAGCUAGGGCUUCUCCGAAAGUGAUGGUGUCUUUGAUGACAAGGCGAGCCAUCAAUCCUUCUGUCGACGGCAUAGAGGAACUCUCAAUGAAAGCACCAAUGUCGGUGUCAAAACCGGCAGAUCUCAGGUAGGGGGUCCCGAACUGUGUGUCUAAGGAUUAAAGGUAACAAGGAGGCAGGGGACACGAUGUUUACCCAGGUUCGGGCCCUCUUAAUGGAGGUAACACCCUACUUCCUGCUUGAUUGACUUUUAUGAGUAUAGGGGUUACAAGAGUCGAUCUACCUCGAGAUCGUAAUGGCUAAACCCUAGAUGUCUAGCAUGUAUGAUUGUGAUCGUCCCUAAAGACUAACCCCUCUGGUUUAUAUAGGCACCAGAGGGGACUAGGCGGGUACAAAGUCAGUUUACAGAGGAAGGAAACUACACAUCCGGAUGCCAAGCUUGCCAUCCACGCAAAGGAGAGUCCCAUCCGGACGCGGGAGAAAGCCUUCGGUUAUGUAUCUUCACGGCCCAUCAAUCCGGCCCAUGUUACAUAGGCUGGCUCUCCGAGGACCCCAUAAUCCAGGAGUCCCUCACCUGCCACGACGCUCUGCAUGGAACUGCACCAACUGACAGCUCCACCAUUCAACAAAAAUAUGUAUCCGGAUUGUGAUUUAUUAUCAUCUGGAUCAGUGUCAAAGCUAGCUUCGACGUAACCACUUAUGACAAGCUCUUUGUCACCUCCAUAAAUGAGAAACAUAUCCCUAGUCCUUUUAAGGUACUUCAGGAUGUUCUUGACCGCUGUCUAGUGAUCCACUCCUGGAUUACUUUGGUACAUCCUUGCUAAACUUAUAUCAAGGCACACAUUAGGUCUGGUACACAGUAUAGCAUACAUGAUAGAACCUAUGGCUGAACCAUAGGGAAUGACUUUCAUUUUCUCUCUAUCUUCUGCAGUGGUCGGGCAUUAAGUCUGACUCAACUUCACACCUUGUAACAUAGGCAAGAACCUUUCUUUGACUGAUCCAUUUUGAACUUCUUCAAAACUUUAUCAAGGUAUGUGCUUUGUGGAAGUCCUAUCAAGCCUUCUUGAUCUAUCUCUAUAGAUCUUGAUGCCCAAUAUAUAAGCAGCUUCACCGAGGUCUUUCAUUGAAAAACUCUUAUUCAAAUAUCCUUUUAUGCUAUUCAGAAAUUCUACAUCAUUUCCAAUCAAUAAUAUGUCAUCCACAUAUAAUAUUAGAAAUGCUAUAGAGCUCCCACUCACUUUCUUGUAAAUAUAGGUUUCUCCAAAAGUAUGUAUAAAACCAUAUGCUUUGAUCACCUCAUCAAAUAUUCCAACUCCGAGAUGCUUGCACCAGUCCAUAAAUGGAUCGCUGGAGCUUGACACUUUGUUAGCACCUUUAGGAUUGACAAAACCUUCUGGUUGCAUCAUAUAUAACUCUUCUUUAAGAAAUCCAUUAAGGAAUACAGUUUUAACAUCCAUUUGCCAGAUUUUCAUAAUCAUAAAAUGCGGCAAUUGCUAACAUGAUUUGGACAGACUUAAGCAUCACUAUGGGUGAGAAAGUCUCAUCAUAGUCAACUCCUUGAACUUGUCAAAAACCCUUUGCAACAAGUUGGACUUUAUAGACAGUAACAUUACCAUCAGCGUUAGUCUUCUUUUUGAAGAUCCAUUUAUUCUCUGUGGGUCGCUGAUCAUCGGGCAGAUCCACCAAAGUUCACACUUUGUUCUCAUACGUGGAUCCUAUCUCAGAUUUCAUGGCCUCAAGCCAUUUAUCGGAAUCUGGGCUCAUCAUAGCUUCUUCAUAGUUCAUAGGUUCGUCUUGGUCAAGUAACAUGACCUCCAGAAUAGGAUUACCAUACCACUCUGGUGCGGAUCGUGCUUUGUCAGACCUACAAGGUUCUGUAGCAACUUGAUCUGUAGUUUCAUGAUCUUUAUCAUUAGCUUAUUCUCCAGUUAGUGUAGGCAUCAUGGGAACAAAUUUCUUGGUUGAGCUACUUUCCAAAUUGAGAGCAGGUACAUUUACCUCAUCAAGUUCUACUUUCCUCCCACUCACUUCUUUCGAGAGAAACUCCUUCUGUAGAAAGGUUCCAUUCUUAGCAACAAAAAUCUUGCCUUCGGACUUGUGCUAGAAGGUGUACCCAAUUGUUUCCUUAGGGUAUCCUAUGAAUAUACAUUUCUCCGAUUUGGAUUCAAGCUUAUCGGGCUGAAGCCUUUUGACAUAAGCAUCGCAUCCCCAAACGACAGCUUAGGUUAGUUUCCAAACCACAGUUCAUACGGUGUCAUCUCAACGGAUUUUGACGGUGCCCUGUUCAAAGUAAAUGCAGCUAUCUCUAAUGCAUAACCCCAAAAUGAUAGUGGUAAAUCGGUAAGAGACAUCAUAGAUCGCACCAUAUCCAAUAAAGUGCGGUUACGACGUUCGGACACACCAUUACGCUGUGGUGUUCUAGGUGGCGUGAGUUGUGAAACUAUUCCACAUUGUUUUAGAUGAAGGCCAAACUCGUAACUCAAAUAUUCUCCUCCAUGAUCAGAUCGUAGAAACUUUAUUUUCUUGUUACAAUGAUUCUCCACUUCACUCUGAAAUUCUUUGAACUUUUCAAACGUUUCAGACGUGUUUCAUUAAGUAGAUAUACCCAUAUCUGCUCAAAUCAUCUGUGAAGGUCAGAAAAUAAUGAUACCCGCCACGAGCAUCAACACUCAUUGGACCGCAUACAUCGGUAUGUAUUAUUUCCAAUAAGUCACUAGCUCAUUCCAUUGUUCCAAAGAACAGAGUUUUAGUCAUCUUGCCCAUAAGGCACGGUUCACAAGUACCAAGUGAUUCCAAAAGUCCAUCUUUAUGGAGUUUCUUCAUGCGCUUUACACCGAUAUGACCCAAAUGGCAGUGCCACAAAUAAGUUGCACUAUCAUUAUCAACUUUUCAUCUUUUGGCAUUAAUGUUAUGAAUAUGUGUAUCAUCAUGAUCAAGAUUCAAUAGAAAUAGACCACUCUUCACGGGUGCAUGACCAUAAAAGAUAUUACUCAUAUAAAUAGAACAACCAUUAUUCUUUGAUUUAAAUGAAUAAAUGUCUCGCACUAAACAAGAUCCAGAUAUAAUGUUCGUGCUCAACGCUGGCACCAAAUAACAAUUAUUCAGGUCUAAAACUAAUCCCGAAGGUAGAUGUAGAGGUAGCGUGCUGACGGCGAUCACAUCAACCUUGGAACAAUUUCCAACGUGCAUCGUCACCUAGUCCUUAGCCAAUCUUUGCUUAAUCCAUAGUCCAUGCUUUGAGUUACAAAUAUCAGCAACCGAGUAGGUAUCAAAUACCGAGGCACUACUAUGAAAAUUAGUAAGGUACACAUCAAUAACAUGUAUAUCAAAUAUACCUUUGUUCACUUUGCCAUCCUUCUUAUCUGCCAAAUACUUGGGGUGGUUCCGCUUCCAGUGACCAGUCCCUUUGCAGUAGAAGCACUCAGUUUCAGGCUUGGGUCCAUUUUUAGGUUUCUUCAUGGGAGUGAUAACUUACUUGUCAGUCUUUUUGAAGUUCCCCUUCUUUUUAUCCUUGCCCUUCUUCUUGAAACUAGUGGUCUUGUUAACCAUCAACACUUGAUGCUCCUUCUUGAUUUCUACCUCCGCAGCCUUUAGCAUUGCGAAGAGCUCGGGACUAGUCUUUUCCAUCCCUUGCAUAUUGUAGUUCAUCACGAAGCCUUUGUACCUUGGUGGCAGUGAUUGAAGAACUCUGUCAAUGACACAAUCAUCUGGAAGAUUAACUCCCAGCUGAGUCAAGUUAUUAUGGUACCCAUACAUUAUGAGUAUGUGCUCACUAACAGAAUUGUUCUCCUCCAUCUUGCAGUUAUAGAACUUGUUGGAGACUUCAUAUCUCGCAACUCGGCAUUUGCUUGAAAUAUUAACUUCAACUCCUAGAACAUCUCACAUGGUCCAUGACGUUCAAAACAUCUUUGAAGUCCCAAUUCUAAGACAUAAAGCAUGGCACACUGAACUAACAACUAGUCAUCAACACACGACUGUCAGGCAUUCACAGUGUCUGUAGUUGCUGGGGCAGGUGGUACACCUAGCAGUGCAUCAAGGACAUAAUUCUUCUGUGUAGCAAUGAGGAUAAUCCUCAAGUUAUGGACCCAGUCCGUGUAGUUACUGCCAUAAUCUUUCAACUUAGCUUUCUCUAGGAACGCAUUAAAACUCAAAGAAAUGGUAGCACGGGCCAUUGGUCUACAAUGUAGAUAUGCAAAAAAACUAUCAGGGCUAAGUUCAAUUAAUCAUAUUACUUAAGAACUCCCACUUAGAUAGGCAUCCCUCUAGUCAUCUAAAUGAUACGUGAUCCAAAUCAACUAAACCAUGUCUGAUUAUCAAGUGAGAUAGAGUAGUCUUCAAUGGUGAACAUCACUAUGUUGAUCAUAUCUACUAUAGGAUUCACGUUCAGCCUUUCGGUCUCCAGUGUUCCGAGGCCAUAUCUGUAUAUGCUAGGCUCAUCAAGUUUAACCCGACUAUUCCGUGUGUGCAAAUCUGGCUUGCAUCCGUUGUAUUUGAGCGUAGAGCUUAUCACACCCAAUCAUCACGUGGUGUCUCAGCACGAAGAAUUUUCGCAAUAGUGCAUACUCGGGGAGAACACUUGUACCUGAAAUUUUAGUGAGGGAUCAUCUUAUAAUGUUGCCGCCGUGCUAAGCAAAAUAAGAUGCAUAAAAUAUAAACAUCACAUGCAAUCAAAAAUAUAUGUGACAUGAUAUGGCCAUCAUCAUCUUGUGCUUUUGAUCUCCAUCAUCGAAGCAAUGUCAUGAUCUCCAUCGUCACCGGCUAGACACCUUGAUCUCCAUCGUAGCGUCGUGGUCAUCUCGCCAACCAUUGCUUCUACGACUAUUGCUACCGCUUAGUGAUAAAGUAAAGCAAUUGCAUAUCGCUUGUAUUUCAUACAAUAAAGCGACAACCAUAUGGCUCUUGCCAGUUGCCGGUAACUUUUACAAAACAUGAUCAUCUCAUACAACAAUCUUUAUAUCACAUCAUGUCUUGACCAUAUCACAUCACAACAUGCCCUGCAAAAACAAGUUAGAUGUCCUCUACUUUGUUUGUUGCAAGUUUUACGUGGCUGCUACGGGUUGCCAGCAUGAACCAUACAUACCUACGGCACAAAAACCACACCGGUGAUUUAUCAAGUUUGCUGUUUUAACCUGCACAAGGACCGGCCGUAGUCCAAUUCAAUUCAACUAAAGUUGGAGAAACAGACACCCUCCAGCCACCUUUAUGCAAAACUAGUUGCAUGUCUGCCGGUGGAACCGGUCUCAUGAAUGCGGUCAUGUAAGGUUGGUCCGGGCUGCUUCAUCCAACAAUAUCACCACCCACAACUCUUUGUGUUCUACUCGUGCAUAUCAUCUAUGCAUAGACCUGGCUCGGAUGCCACUGUUAGGAAACAUAGCAUGCAAUUUCAAAAAAAUCCUAUGACCAUGCAAGAUCUAUCUAGGAGAUGCCUAGCAACAAGAGGGGAGAGUGCAUCCACGUACCCUCGUGGACCGAAAGCGGAAGCGUUAACUUAACGCAGUUGAUGUAGUCGAACGUCUUCUCGAAUCAACCGAUCAAGUACCGAACGUACGACACCUCCGAGUUCUGCACAUGUUCAGCUCGAUGACGUCCCUUGAAAUCUUGAUCCAGUAGAGGCACGAAGGAGUCGAUGAGUUCCGUCGGCACGACGGCGUGAUGAUGGUGUUGGUGAAGUGAUCCACGCAGGGCUUCGCCUAAGCACUACGUCAGUAUGACCGGAGGAGUAAACGGUGGAGGGGGGCACCACACACGGCUAAACAGUUGAUGUGUAUUGGGGUACCCCUCACCCUCGUAUAUAAAGGAGGAGGGGAGGAGGCCAGCCACAAGGGGCCAAGGAGGGGGAUUCCUACUAGGACUCCACUCCUAGUAGGAUUCGCCCCCCCCCCAUCCUAUUUUCCUUCUUCCUGAGGGGGAAAAGGGGAAAGAGAGAGGGAAGAGGAGAAGGAAAGGGGGCGCGCCCCCUCCCCUAGUCCAAUUCGGACUCCCUAUGAGAAGGGGGCACGACCACCCCUUGUGGGCUGCCUCCCCUCUCUCCUACGGCCCAUGUAGGCCCAACAAUUCCCCGGGGGGUUCCGGUAACCUCUCGGUACUUUCAAAAAUAUCCGAACCUUUCCGAAACCAUUUUGGUGUCUGAUAUAACCUUCCAAUAUAUCAAUCUUUACCUCUCGACCAUUUAGAGACUCCUCGCCAUGUCCGUGAUCUCAUCCAGGACUCUGAACAACCUUCGAUCACCAAAACACAUAACUCAUAUAAUACCUAUCGUCAUCGAACGUUAAGCAUGCAGACCCUACGGGUUCGAGAACUGUGUAGACAUGACCGAGACACCUCUCUGGUCAAUAACCAAUAGCGGAACAUGGAUGCUCAUAUUGUUUCCCACAUAUUCUACGAAGAUCUUUAUCGGUCGAACCGAAAUGUCAACAUAGUUGUUCCCUUUAUCAUCGGUAUAUGUUACUUGCCCGAUAUUUGAUUGCCGGUAUCUUCAUACCUAGUUCAAUCAUUAUCGGCAAGUCUCUUUACUCGUUCCAUAGUGCAUCAUUGUGCAACUAACUCAUUAGUCACAUUGCUUGCAAGGCUUCAUAUGAUGUGCAUUACCGAGAGGGCCCAGAGAUACCUCUCCGAUACUCGGAGUGACAAAUCCUAAUCUCGAUCUAUGCCAACCCAACAAACACCUUCAAAGAUACCUGUAGAGCAUCUUUAUAAUCACCCAGUUACGUUGUGACGUUUGAUAGCACACAGGGCAUUCCUACGGUGUCCGGGAGUUGCAUAAUCUCAUAGUCGGAGGAAUAUAUAUUUGACAUGAAGAAACCAGUAGCAAUAAACUGAACGAUCAUUAUGAUAAGCUAACGGCUGGGUCUUAUCCAUCACAUCAUUCCACUAACGAUGUGAUUCCGUUAUCAAAUGACAACUCAUGUCCAUGGCUAGGAAACUUAACCAUCUUUGAUCAACGAGCUAGUCUAGUAGAGGCAUACUAGGGACACGUUGUUUUGUCAAUGUAUUCACACAUGUAUCAAGCUUCCGGUUAAUACAAUUCUAGAAUGAAUAAUAAACAUUUAUCAUGAAUAAGGAAAUAUAAAAUAACAACUUUAUUAUUGACUCUAGGGCAUAUUUCCUUCAUGGUGUCAUGUCAUGGCACCAACAUGUUGUGCUAUAUUUUUUGGCCGAAUUGGGACAACUUUUGGUAUAAGCUUCUUGCAAACCGGAGAUUCUCUCAAGAAGGCUCAUGAUUCGGAGUGGGAAUGUGUCACCUUUGUGUGCGAAAUGACAUACGCUAUCCCCCUGCUGAUUUUGUUUUACAGAGCCAACAUAGAACUAUAUGAGUGUCAUGUUAAAAUUUGGAAUUAUUCCUGGUUUGUUUGUCCUUUUUUAUACAUUAAUUGAGUUUCCGGGCAUUUAAUGUGCAUAAUUCAAAUUUGAACUACAAGCACAUGCUCCAGUGCACCAAAGUUGGUUGAAAAAUCGCAUGUGUGUCCUUGGGUGAAUUUCUAGGUCUUGUGCAAGAAAUGAGAAUGAAAUUCAAACAUCUGGGCAUCGUGGCUCAAUCGGAAACAUUGAGAAACUUGGUUUUUAAAUUCCUGUAAAUCCAAAACGCGCAUGAAAAUUAUGAAACUUUGCAUGGUGUCAUGUCAUGGCACCAACAUGUUGUGCUAAUUUUGGCGGAAUUGGGACAAGUUUUGGUAUAAGGUUCUUGCAAACCGGAGUUUCUCUCAAGAAGGCUCGUGGUUCCGAGAGGGAACGAGCCACCUUUGUGUGCGAAACAACAUACGUUGCCCCCCUCUUGAUUUUUUUAUAGAGCAAACAUAGAACUAUAUGAGUGUCGUGUGAAAAUUUGGAAUUAUUCUAGGUUCGUUCGGCCUUUUUAUACAUUAAUUGAGUUUUGGGGCAUUUAAUGUGCAUAAUUAAAAUUUCAACUACAAGCACAUGCUCCAGUGCACCAAAGUUGGUUGAAAAAUCACAUGUGUGUCCUUGGGUGAAUUUGUAUGUCCCAUGCAAGAAAUGAGAAUGAAAUUCAAACAUCUGGGUAUCGUGGCUCGGCCGGAAACAAUGAGAAACUUGGUUUUUAAAUUCUUGUAAAUCCAAAACAUGAAUGAAAAUCAUGAAACUUGGCAUGGUUUCAUGUCAUGGCACCAACAUGCUAUGGUAAAUUUUUUGGCUGAAUUGGGACAAGUUUAGGUAUAAGUUUCCAGUAAACCGAAGCUUCUCUCAAGAAGGCUCGUGGUUCCGAGAGAGAACGAGCUACCUUUGUGUGUGAAACAACAUACGUUGUCCCCCUCUUGAUUUUUUAUAGAGCCAGCAUAGAACUAUAUGAGUGUCAUGUUAAAAUUUGGAAUUAUUCCGGGUUCGUUUGACCUUUUUAUACAUUAAUUGAGUUUCUAGGCAUUUAAUGUGCAUAAUUCAAAUUUGAACUACAAGCACAUGCUCCAGUGCACCAAGGUUGGUUGAAAAAUUACAUGUGUGUCCUUGGUGAAUUUCUAGGCCCCAUGCAAGAAAUGGGAAUAAAAUUCAAACAUCUGGGUGUCGUGGCUCGGCCGGAAACAUUCAGAAACAUGGUUUUGAAAUUCCUAUAAAUCCAAAACACGCAUGAAAAUCAUGAAACUUGGCAUGGUGUCAUGACAUGGCACCAACAUGCUAUGGUAAUUUUUUUGGCCGAAUUGGGACGAGCUCUGGUAUAAGCUUCUUGCAAACCGGAGCUUCUCUCAAAAGGCUCAUGGUUCCGAGAGGGAACGUGUCACCUUCGUGUGCAAAAUGACAUACGCUGCCUUCCCCUCUUGAUUUUUUUCCAGAGGCCACAUAGACCAAUAGGAUUUUUCUGCUAAAUCUUGGAAUUAUUCCAGGUUCGUUUGGUCUUUUUUCUAUUAAUAGGCAUUUCUGGGCAUUUAAUGCACAUAAUUCUAAUUUGAACUACAAGCACAUGUUCCAGUGCACCAAAAUUGGUUAAAAAUCAUUUAUGUGUACUUGGGUGAAUUUCUAGGUCCCAUGCAACAAAUGAGAAUGGAAUUCAAACAUCUGGGCGUCGUGGCUCGGCGAGAAACACCGAGAAACUUGAUUUUUAAAUUCCUGUAAAUCCAAAACUCGCCUGAAAAUCAUGAUACUUGGCAUGGUAAUUAUGACAUGGCACCAACAUGUUUUGGUAAUUUUUUUGUCCGAUUUGCAAAGGCGCACACAUUAACAACCAACAAAGUCAUUUUGAAACAAGUGUUGUCACGUUACAAUCAGAAACACAAGUAUUAUUGAAACCGUGGGCGUUCUACUUACCUUCUAUGUGCCGCCACGCGUCCUCUUUGUUUAUUGGUUAGGAGGCGCCAUGUGGAGUAGCUAUUUGAGUACGGGAGGCAUGUGACCAGAUCCCUGCGCGUGCUUAUCGGGAGGAGAGCCCUUUGACCCCCAUGCGCCGCCCACCUCUCUCCCAACGUCUCCAUUAAUGGCGCCCGAGCCCCUGUUUUAUGGCGUGGCUAUGUCUCACUCCACUGAGAUUUAAGAAGAAGAAAGAAAAUCUAAAAAUAAAAUUUUGCCCGGAUAUUGAUGUAAGAUCUGACGACAUAUAUAGCAUCGACUGCGACUUGUAGCAAGACUGAUAUGAAUAUAUAAGGAUGACGAUAGUGGGUAGUAAUUGUCUUACAUAUUUAGGAAGAUAAAAAAAUGCCACAUGCGACAACGCCUGAAAUACACAAGGGCAAUAGAAAAAGGAAGACGCAGACAAUGAUCUGGCUCAUUGAUCUCUAUUUUCUUGAUGCAUUGCUGCAGGGUGCGGAGACUAGUUCUCGCGGCGAGCAGCAAUGAAAUCUUUCAUGUCCUCAGUAUGCUGGUUGAGAGCGUCCACGGAUUCCUCCACCAACCUUUCGCGCUUAAUGCGGAGCAUGGCAUUAUCGUCCAUAAGUUUCUUGACGAUGAUGCUCGCCCUCUUCAACAAGGUAGUGGUCUCAUCGUGCUGCUUCGUCCUUCUAGUGGUCUUCGCCCUCAGUAGGUCGAGCUCGGCGCGGAGCUUCACCUUGUCCUCCCCUAGUCCUGGGAUGAGGCCGGUAGCCUUUUCAAACGAGGUAUUCAUCUCGUCCUGCAACUUCAUCCAGUCGGGGAUCCGAUCCAUCGGGUCAUAAAGCAUAGUGCGCACGCGCCUGUGAGAGUCCUCGCCUCCCUGCAAGACAAUUUCCCAGGCCCGAUCGACACUUCCACGAAGAGAAAUUUGAUUUCCCCCCUCUAAUCCCUUGCGGAUCUUGUUACUAUUGGGUGUUUGAGCACCCUAGACGGUCAAGGUCACCUGGGAGCAACAUUCCAUUGUGUUGAAGCUUCGUGGUGGUGUUGGGGAGCCUUCAAUUCGGUUCUAGAGAGAGCCCCAACCUUGUUUGCAAAGGUCCGGUUGCCGCCUUCAGGGGCACCACUAGUGGAUUCCCGACAUCUCGCAUUGUGUGAGGGUGUGAGGAGAAUACGGUGGCCCUAGUGGCUUCUUGGGGAGCAUUGUGCCUCCACACCGCUCCAACAGAGACGUACUUCCCCUCAAAGGGAAGGAACUUCGGUAACACAUCCUCGUCUUCACCGGCUCCACUUGUUGUUAUUUCUUACCUUUACUUUGUGCAAGCUUUAAUUAUGUUGUAUCCUUUUCUUGCUUGCUUGCUUGUGUUGUUGUUGCUAGCAUCAUAUAGGUUGCUCAUCUAGUUGCAUAUCUAGACAACCUAUUUGUUGUUGAACUUAAUUUGUUAAGAAAAGCUAAAGAUUGGUAAUUGCCUAUUCAUCCCCCUCUAGUCAAACAUAUUGAUCAUUUCAAGAUCUAUCCGAGUGAGGAUAAUUCAUCGUGGGCGUAGGCCAUGAUGGAAUAAACAAGGUUGCUUCUUCAUGGACCCUUCGUGGGUGGAGCCUUCUGUGGACUCAUGCAACCUUUACCCUAUGUGGGUUGAAGUCUCCAUCAACGUGGAUGUACGAUAUCACCACCUAUCGGAACCACGCCAAAAAUCACCGUGUCUUCAUUGCGUUUGAUCUUACAUCUCUACUCCUUUACUUUCCGCACUAUUGCAUGUUGUAUUCUUUCUGCUGCUCUAUCUCUAGAUAUGCAUGUGUAAAAAGUCUUGGUAGUAUCUUAACUAGUGUCAAAAUCUGCCUAAAUUUCAUGAACUAAAAAUUGCACCUUUGGUCAGUUAAGUGCCUAUUCACAUCCCUCUAGACUUAUCUUCUCGAUCAUACAUACACCCUCUCUUAUCCACAGAUGAAAAAAACAUACACACUCUCUCCCCUUUAUCCCCACCGAACACUCAACACUCGACCCAACAUCAAAAAAAUCCACGCGACAGAGUGCAUCCUCAUCGUUGCGGCCUCCCCCGCCUCGCGUUUUACUCGGUCCAACCUUCUCUUCCUCACACCCUUGCCGCAUAGGAUUGUUCUGCCUCGCCGCCAUAUUUGCCUGAUCUCCUCCCCCCCCUAGCGAACAUGAUGCAGGUGGCAACAGUUGGGCAUGCAGAUGCGGAGGGAUACCAUGGUGUGGUGACGACUUUGGCCGCGGGUGGCUCAAACUGGUGCCAUAAUGUCGUCCCUUCUGAGGCACAUGCGGAGGUGAUGUUGGACGUAGCGAUGCCCUUCUCCUUGGUGGUAACCGCUGAUAUGUCUCCAACGUAUCUAUAAUUUUUUAUUGUUCCAUGCUAUUAUAUUAUCCAUCUUGAAUGUUAUAUAUGCAUUUAUAUGAUUUUUGGGACUAACCUAUUAACCUAGAGCCCAGUGCCAGUUUCUGUUUUUUCCUUAUUUUUGAGUUUCGCAGAAAAGGAAUACCAAAUGGAGUCCAAAUGACCUGAAACUUUACAGUGAUUUUUUAUGGACCAGAAGAAGCCCACAGAGCAUCGGAGACGGACCAGAAGAGUCCCGAGGCCACCACAAGGACAGGGGCACGCCCUACCCCCUGGGCGCGCCCCCAUCCUUGUGGUCGCCUCACGGACCCCCUGACUUGUCCCUGAUGGCAAUAAUUCCUAUAAAUACCAAAACCCCCAGAAACAAACCUAGAUCAAGAGUUCCGCCGCCGCAAGCCUCUGUAGCCAUGAAAAACCUCUUGGGACCCUGUUCCGGCACCCUGCCGGAGGGGGGAUCCAUCACCGGUGGCCAUCUUCACCAUCCUGGGCUCUCCAUGACGAGGAGGGAGUAGUUCACCCUUGGGGCUGAGGGUAUGUACCAGUAGCUAUGUGUUUGAUCUCUCUCUCUCUCUCUCCCUCUCUCUCUCGUGUUCUUGAUUUGGCACGAUCUUGAUGUACCGCGAGCUUUGCUAUUAUAGUAGGAUCUUAUGAUGUCUCUCCCCUCUACCUUCUUGUAAUGGAUUGAGUUUCCCUUUGAAGUUAUCUUAUCGGAUUGAGUCUUUAAGGAUUUGAGAACACUUGAUGUAUGUCUUGCAUGUGCUUAUGUACGGUGACAAUGGGAUAUUCACGUGAUCCACUUGAUGUAUGUUUUGGUGAUCAACUUGCCGGUUCUGUGACCUUGUGAACUUAUGCAUAGGGGUUGGUACACGUUUUUUUCUUGACUCUCCGGUAGAAACUUUGGGGCACUCUUUGAAGUUCUUUGUGUUGGUUCGAAUAGAUGAAUCUGAGAUUGUGUGAUGCAUAUUGUAUAACCAAACCUAUGGAUACUUGUGGUGACAUUGGAGUAUCUAGGUGACAUUAGGGUUUUGGUUGAUGUGUAUCUUAAGGUGUUAUUUUAGUACGAACUCUAGGGCUGUUUGUGGUACUUAUAGGAAUAGCCCAAUAGAUCGAUCAGAAAGAAUAACUUUGAGGUGGUUUCGUACCCUACAAUAAUCUCUUUGUUUGUUCUCCGUUAUUAGUGACUUUGAAGUGACUCUUUCUUGCAUGUUGAGGGAUUGUUAUAUGAUCCAAUUAUGUUAUCAUUGUUGAGAGAACUUGCACUAGUGAAAGUAUGAACCCUAGGCCUUGUUUCCAAGCAUUGCAAUACCGUUUUCGCUCACUUUUACCACUCUCUACCUUACUAUUUUUAUAUUUUCAGAUUGCAAAAACCUAUAUCUACCAUCCAUAUUGCAUCUGUAUCACCAUCUCUUUGCCGAACUAGUGCACCUAUACAAUUUACCAUUGUAUUGGGUGUGUUGGGGACACAAGAGACUCUUUGUUAUUUGGUUGCAGGGUUGUUUGAGAGAGACCAUCUUCAUCCUACGCCUCCCACGGAUUGAUAAACCUUAGGUCAUCCACUUGAGCAAAAUUUGCUAUUAUCCUACAAAACUCUGCGCUUGGAGGCCCAACACGAUUCUACAAGAAUAAUGUUGCGUAGUAGACAUCAAGCUCUUUUCUUGCGCCGUUGUCGGGGAGGCUAGGUAAGCAGCACUCACAUCCCGUCAAUGAAGCUCUUUUCUGGUGUAGUUGCCGGGGUGGUGAGUGCUUGAAGGUAUAUCUUUAGAUCUUGCAAUUGAAUCUUUUAGUUUCUUGAUCACUAGUAACUAGAAGACUAGGCCCGUAAGGGUAUGAUUUUUCUGGUUUUUUCGGUAUUUCUUUUACCCCUGCCGAUUGAGCGACACGUGUGCACAGUGGCUUUCGUGAAGUGGUUGAUAUCUUCUCUCUUGGGUUGUGCACGUUUCUUCUGGAGGUGCAUGGGCUUAUCUUGUCUUAUGUGUCUCAUGUGAAAAGAUGGUUUGACUGCAUGGGCUGGUUUUGUCUCAUGUGAAAAAAAUAUUAGCUGCAUGGGCAUGGGCUGGUAUACGUGUGGUGCUGCAUGGGCAUGGGUUGGUAUACGUGUGGCGCUGCAUGGGCAUGGGUUGGUAUAGCGUGUGGUGCUGCAUGGCUCAUGCAUGCAUGCAUGUGUCCACCUUUGCAUGUUUGUAGUUCCAGGUUUGCACACGUUUGUGUUCUGGAUCCUUCUUUGCUCGCCUAUAAAUAGCUCAUUGUUGUGUUCUUCUCUCGUGUGUACUUCUAGGUCUCUAGUCACGGCUGCGUCCAAACCACUCCUCAUCUAUAGGCCCAUCUCUCCUCCUGAUGCUACCCUCUAGCCUCCACCCGAGAUCCCACGACGCGCUAGGUUGCCGCUCUGGCUGGCCGGUUGGGAGGUGCGUGCAGGCUACACAAUGGAUCGGAGAGCCGCGUGCCAUCCUCUCCUCAUGGAUCUUCCUCGGCUCCGGCUCCGUCCCUGGCCUCCAAGGCGGAUACACGGUGGUGGCCUCCCCGUGGUCCAAGUUGGCACGCCUGCAGCUGACGCUGGAUAGCUUCCUACCCUGUCACGCUCCAUCCUAAUCACCUUCUCUCGGCCUUCCCCAGCUUUGGCCCCGGCAGCAGGUCCCCUCCAUCCGCCCCACGGCCGCGAUUCCUGCCUCGCUACUUCAGUUUCAAGUUGUUCCUUGCGAAGGUAGACAUCGCAUCUACAUUUCCUCUCCUCUAGUCUGCAUGGUUUCCCUAAACAAGUAGAUGAGUUAUUAGUACUAUAAUUUCAUCAGAUAUAAAGUUGGGUGCAUAUGCUGCAAAUUCUUAAUCUAAGAAGAAUGUUCAGGUGUUGGGUGCAGGUCUGUAGUGAGGACACAAAUUUGGGGGUCCAGCUCCUUGAGUGAAUGUGCAAGGAAUUCAGAACCUGCAUCUUUAAUAUAACAUGGUUUAUUUAUCCUUAAUCUCUCCAUUAAGUUGUGUUCCAUUUUCUUGAUGGAAGUAAUCCUGGUUUAAUUUCACAUGAUGUUUAAACAAAUAAACACAUGAUGUGCUGAAUAUCUGACAUACUAGGAAAUGGUACAGCUUGAUGACUAUUGCAGUACUACAUUAUUUUCAGGUAUUUAUUGUUCCUUCUGUGAUAGUUUUCUCUCUCCUAAAAGUAAAAUGAAUCAUUUUUAAUCCUUUGAGCAAGGUUGCCCAAAGUAGGGCGCUCAGCCAUUGAGGCAUUAUCAAUUUCUUUAAGAAGCUUCGCAAAAUCUGCUCUUAUACUAACAAGAUCUAAUGUAGGUUUCUUAGCCUUAUAGGGUACUAUAUACUAAACACAUGAUAUUAAAUAUACAUUACAUUGCGAUGUGAAGUGAGUAUGUAUAUACUAUCCACAUAGGAUUGCCAUUUUUGCUGUUGCUGGGAUAAUCAUGUAUUGGGGUGCAUUCUGAUAAUAAGAUAUUAGAGUAUUGAUAUGUGAUCUGUAUGUCACACUUUACUUCAUCAUCCUUUGUUUUCAGAUGUAUUCUUUAGGCAUAGACUAAUGUGGCAGCUUGGUCAUAUUCUGUAGCUAAUUUAGUCACCACAAUACUCGGAUUUUUUCCCAACUCUCAGUAUAAAGAACUUCCACUUGCCAUCUCUAUAUGGAUUUUCUUUUUGCUACUGAUUUUGGCUAAGGAUUUUUCGGAUCUCAUCUCUACAUGGAUAUGUUUUUUUCAGGUUAGUAGUUUAGGAGUUCCUGCAAACACUGGCUUUUGGAAGUUAUGCUCGCUUCACCAGUAGGUCUUAACACGGACAUACUUAAUUCUAUGUUGGUAAUAAAAAAAUUUGUUUGGAGAAAACAUCUCUUUUGCAUUGUUGUUUGCUUCUGAAUUUUACUAUAUUUUUUUCAUUUUUUUCCAGGUUAGUAGUAUGGGAGUUCCUAUCAAGACUGACUUUUGGAAGUUAUGCUAGCUUCAUCAGUCAAGCUUUCUAUACAAAACUAGACUCAAUGUAAUUUAUUUUGGUGCUUGCAAUGAGUAUUAGACAGAGGGAUGAUGAACACAUACUUCACCCAGUGUAUAGCCAUGGUGGCAAAAAAGAAGACAAAAAAACUCUGUCUGUAUGGUGUUUGUGAUAAUGCUAUCAAUUCACUAAACGCUAAAAUAC